This 402-nucleotide ribosomal RNA is filed under the name uncultured bacterium. RNAcentral describes it as "bacterial SSU rRNA". It matches the Rfam family "Bacterial small subunit ribosomal RNA", at positions 975 to 1375 of the family's 1533-position model. The record is from RNAcentral.
CUGGCCUUGACAUGCCACUAACGAAGCAGAGAUGCAUUAGGUGCCCGAAAGGGAAAGUGGACACAGGUGCUGCAUGGCUGUCGUCAGCUCGUGUCGUGAGAUGUUGGGUUAAGUCCCGCAACGAGCGCAACCCUUGCCAAUAAUUGCCAUCAUUUAGUUGGGCACUUUAUUGGGACUGCCGGUGACAAACCGGAGGAAGGUGGGGAUGACGUCAAGUCCUCAUGGCCCUUAUGGCCAGGGCUUCACACGUAAUACAAUGGUCGGUACAGAGGGUUGCCAACCCGCGAGGGGGAGCCAAUCCCAGAAAGCCGAUCGUGGUCCGGAUUGGUGUCUGCAACUCGACCCCAUGAAGUCGGAAUCGCUAGUAAUCGCGGAUCAGCAUGUCGCGGUGAAUACGUUCCC